RNAcentral lists this unclassified non-coding RNA (343 nucleotides) under soil metagenome. Its description in RNAcentral is "partial contains 5.8S ribosomal RNA, internal transcribed spacer 2, and large subunit ribosomal RNA". The stretch from base 1 to 120 matches the Rfam family "5.8S ribosomal RNA", at positions 35 to 154 of the family's 154-position model. The record is from RNAcentral.
GAUGAAGAACGUAGCGAAAUGCGAUAAGUAAUGUGAAUUGCAGAAUUCAGUGAAUCAUCGAAUCUUUGAACGCACAUUGCGCCCGCUAGUAUUCUGGUGGGCAUGCCUGUCCGAGCGUCAUUUCAACCCUCAAGCCCCCGGGCUUGGUGUUGGGGAUCGGCGAGCCUCCGCGCCCGCCGUCCCCUAAAUCUAGUGGCGGUCUCGCUGUAGCUUCCUCUGCGUAGUAGCACACCUCGCACUGGGAAACAGCGCGGCCACGCCGUUAAACCCCCAACUUCUGAACGUUUGACCUCGGAUCAGGUAGGAAUACCCGCUGAACUUAAGCAUAUCAAUAAGCGGAGGA